RNAcentral lists this long non-coding RNA (1677 nucleotides) under Aquilegia coerulea. RNAcentral's name for it is "long non-coding RNA (ACOE_LNC002090)". The record is from RNAcentral. Lineage: Eukaryota; Viridiplantae; Streptophyta; Magnoliopsida; Ranunculales; Ranunculaceae.
GAUUUUUUCUGUUUUAGAAAUAUUAGUUUGGAAGUAUUGUUAUUCUUUUGUAUGAGAAUAUGAGAUUGAUGAUGUUUUGUUUUUACUAUAUGUGGAUAGUGCUCAAUGUCAUUCUGUUGUGGUGGUUUAGGCUUUAAUCAGUGAAUAGGGGACUUUAUUAUUGAAUUCAUUCUUAUUGCGUUCAUUUAUUAUUUGUUUGUUAGUGGGUUUUUAAGGAAAUAGAUGCUAGGGUUGUCUUACACUCUUACUACAAUUGCAUGAAACAAAUAUCAUAUAAAUGAAAAAUGAGUUCAAGUUGAACUGAGAUAGUAGACGCGCUCUUAGAUUUUUAUUUUAUGAAGGCCGAGUGAGUAUGAUUCUAUCAAAAUGAUUGUUGAAAAUGUCAAGGAUACAAGUAGCCUUGCCAUUUAAUGGUAUUAGUUAUAAUUACACUCACUCUAAGGCACGAAGUGCUGAUUGUAUUCUUAGGCUGCAACCUCUCUUUUUACUGGGACAUGACUCUCCUAUUGUACUCUCCUACCAGAGUCUGUGUUACUAACUAACAGUCUGGGCUUAUUCUUAGGCUGCAACCUCUCUUUUUACUGGGACAUGACUCUCCUAUUGUACUCUCCUACCAGAGUCUGUGUUACUAACUAACAGUCUGGGCUUAGACCUUGACAUACUUUAUUUUCAUUGUUCCUAAAGCUUGUUGCUAGACUAUCUUAUUUUCGACUACAUAAUUAAAAUUUAAAAAAGAGAUGUAACACUUGAUACUAGUGCAAUAGUUAUUACUAGCCUACCAAUAGUUCUCAACACUGAACUACAAUUUAUACUCAAUUACGAGCUAGGAAGCUGCUAUCAUUCCCAGCCAGUAGAGUAUCAUUUUGGUUAACCCUGUGGACAAAUAGUGUGCCACGUGGACGUGGUAAUUUUGAAAAACACAAUUUAACUUGAAUUUUGUCACCAAUAUGUGAGUCUAUUUGUUUGUUUAUGAAACACAACCACCACUCCAGCAAAGAACAAUGAUGGGAGAACUUCAGGACUGUUCCGUUCAUGACAUUUGCUUCAUCGGAAUACUGUUAUACUAGGGACCUAGUCAUGGAGUUUGAGGUUGUAUUGUUGUAGAGAAUUUGUUUUUCUUUUGCUAGGGACAAGUCGUCUUUUUGAAUUUUUUCUUUGUUGGUAUUGAUUUGUAUAUUCUGUUUACUAAUUGGUUACCACUCAAAAAAUAAAAUUAAUAAGAAUAAUAGAAAAAAAGUAAUGCACACCAGAACUCGUUUUCAAACCUUAAGUAUCAUGGCUAGAUGAUUUUUUUUUCAUAGUAAGAAAUAUUUAAAAGAAUAAAAUUUUGAAGAUUGCUCGUUACAAUAUGCAAAUUCUUGUUUGGUUGGUUUACGCUGUUUAUAGUUUAUACUUUCUGUGAUUUGAUGUCCAAAGAAGGAAUGUGCUUUUGCUUUGUAUUAUGUCUUAAUACGUCUUCACUAACUUGGACAUAAAGGGUUAAGGUCAUUCGGAGUGAGAUCAUGGCCCCAACAUUUGUUAUGAUUAUGUUUUGGUGUACAUGUUUUAACAAAUUUUCCAUGUUAAUUGGCUUAGGUAUCGUCUAUAGAAUUUUUAUGCUUGUUGUCAAGAGGAAUCAAUGAGAAAAUUGGUUUCUUUCACCUGAUGUCUAAUUAGUGUGUCUUUGUGCAUGUCAAA